This 1017-nucleotide ribosomal RNA is filed under the name uncultured bacterium. RNAcentral's name for it is "bacterial SSU rRNA". It matches the Rfam family "Bacterial small subunit ribosomal RNA", at positions 355 to 1375 of the family's 1533-position model. The record is from RNAcentral.
UGAGGAAUAUUGGUCAAUGGGCGCAGGCCUGAACCAGCCAAGUAGCGUGAAGGAUGACUGCCCUAUGGGUUGUAAACUUCUUUUAUAAAGGAAUAAAGUCGGGUAUGUAUACCCGUUUGCAUGUACUUUAUGAAUAAGGAUCGGCUAACUCCGUGCCAGCAGCCGCGGUAAUACGGAGGAUCCGAGCGUUAUCCGGAUUUAUUGGGUUUAAAGGGAGCGUAGAUGGAUGUUUAAGUCAGUUGUGAAAGUUUGCGGCUCAACCGUAAAAUUGCAGUUGAUACUGGAUAUCUUGAGUGCAGUUGAGGCAGGCGGAAUUCGUGGUGUAGCGGUGAAAUGCUUAGAUAUCACGAAGAACUCCGAUUGCGAAGGCAGCCUGCUAAGCUGCAACUGACAUUGAGGCUCGAAAGUGUGGGUAUCAAACAGGAUUAGAUACCCUGGUAGUCCACACGGUAAACGAUGAAUACUCGCUGUUUGCGAUAUACUGCAAGCGGCCAAGCGAAAGCGUUAAGUAUUCCACCUGGGGAGUACGCCGGCAACGGUGAAACUCAAAGGAAUUGACGGGGGCCCGCACAAGCGGAGGAACAUGUGGUUUAAUUCGAUGAUACGCGAGGAACCUUACCCGGGCUUAAAUUGCAGAUGAAUUACGGUGAAAGCCGUAAGCCGCAAGGCAUCUGUGAAGGUGCUGCAUGGUUGUCGUCAGCUCGUGCCGUGAGGUGUCGGCUUAAGUGCCAUAACGAGCGCAACCCUUGUUGUCAGUUACUAACAGGUUCCGCUGAGGACUCUGACAAGACUGCCAUCGUAAGAUGUGAAGAAGGUGGGGAUGACGUCAAAUCAGCACGGCCCUUACGUCCGGGGCUACACACGUGUUACAAUGGGGGGUACAGAGGGCCGCUACCACGCGAGUGGAUGCCAAUCCCCAAAACCUCUCUCAGUUCGGACUGGAGUCUGCAACCCGACUCCACGAAGCUGGAUUCGCUAGUAAUCGCGCAUCAGCCACGGCGCGGUGAAUACGUUCCC